This is a non-coding RNA of Pelodiscus sinensis (Chinese soft-shelled turtle), 1931 nucleotides long. NCBI's taxonomy places the organism in Eukaryota, Metazoa, Chordata, Testudines, Trionychidae. The record is from RefSeq and is a predicted model, not a curated record.
UCUGCACAUCCAGCCACCACCCCUUUUGGACCCUCGCCUCAUCAUAGCAGCUUCCUGCCUACAAGCCAUUUGGCAGGUAAUUAUCCAUUUAGCAGGUCAAGCACCUUCAGCGGCCUUGGGAACUUAGGCAGCAAUGCCUUUGGAAGAUUAGGCAGUCAUGCUCUGACUCACAACAGCAUAUUUGUUCACAAAGAUGGUCCAAACCUACAGAGCUUUAACAAUCCCCACGAGCCAUGGAAUAGAUUCCAUCGAACCCCACCUUCCUUCCCGACACCUCCACAGUGGCCUAAGCCAGGGGAUUCCAAGCGAAGCGCCUCAGUGACCAACCAUGACAGAGACCGGGAGUGGGAGUCGGAGAAGAGAGAUCUUUUUCUGAAUAAGGAUGACAGAGACAAAGAGAGGUAGGUGGCAGGCAUGCUUUGGGCACUUCCUUGUACUCUUUGUAUCUUCUAUUCCCCCUCCAGUGGCCUUGAUUUUGACAUAACUGUAAAUCUGGUGAGGUGAAUGAGAUGAGCAAAUUCUCUCUGAAGCUGUCAACAGGCCUUUCCCUCCAUUCAGCACUGCCACAGGCAUGUUUUGGCUAGACCAGUGGUUCUCAAAGCAUCAUCCGCAGACAACUAGUGGUCCACAGCCACCUCCCAGGUGGUCUGCGGCUUGAGCUCAGCCCCCACCCUCCUCCCUCACGCAGCAGGAAGCCUGCACUGUUGCUCGAACCUCACGGUUGGCGCACAGACCCAAGGCUGUGAGCUGGAAGCUGGAGCUGGUGCUGGAGGACACAAGCAGGGAGAUGAAGAAAGCAAAAUCACCGUCCCACACGCAGACCAUGGAGCUACAGGUGAAGGACUGCCACCCCAUCCCCCACCAUAGGAAACUCCCACCCACCACUGGGUGUCCGCCAAGCCCGCAGUUGCCAUGGUAGCAGCAGCACUUCCCUCAGUUGCUCCUGCGGGGCAGGUAGCAGGUUGGACUGCGCAGGACCUGGCCGGGUCGGGCAGGCUCCUGUGGUGCACGAGUGGCUGGUGCCCUCUCCCUUCCCCGGCAGCAGGUUAGGCUGCACCGUGCCUGGCAGUGGUGGGAGGAGGUGGCACUGUGGCUGAGGGGUCCCAACCUCGCAACCCUCCCCCUUCUGCACUGCACCUCUCGCCCAGAUCCUGCAUCCUCAUCCCUAUUCCACACACUGGCAGCGCUGUCCUGCACACUGAACCCCUAAUUUUUCUCCACUCCAGGAGCUAAGGGAGGCCAUAAAAUCCACUAACUCUGGAACCCCAGGAAAAGUAAAUUUGGCCUAUGGGAAGCUGUGAACCUCAGCCCCCCAUCCCUUCCCCUCACCUUGCGGGGCUGGAGCACCAGAGGAGUGAGGUGGCUCAAUUGGGGGCCACAUCAAUGAGAGUUGUUGGUUUUGGAAGAGUUUUUUUUUGUUUUGCUUCUCACUUCUGUGGUCCCCAACUGAUUUUUCUGUAGGGCAGUGGCCCCCCCAACCCGAAAAAGGUUCCCCACCCCUGCCAUCAAUAAAGCAAACAUGGAAACCUAGCAACUGGUGGUCCACGGAAAGGUUUACAUUGAGACAGGUGGUCCAUGGGCCAAAAAAUUUGAGAACCUCUGGGCUAGACAGAAACCAACAGCCCAUCCUUGAAUGUCACAGGCUGUGGCAACAUUGUCAACAAGUCCAUCCGCUCCUGCCACUAAGCCAUUUGUCAGGUAGACUCUGCCCUCAAAGUGCCUCUUGUUAGACAGCUCUAAUACACAGGCAUGGUGAAUGAGAGCUGCUGUGGGCUACAGUGUUUUAUCUCAGGUAAGCAAAGGUUUGCAAGCUGCAUUGUGAUACUGUGAUCUGCUCUCGCUCCCAUACUCUCAGCUAAGGGCAAUGCCUUUCAGGUCUAGCUAGGUAUCUCAAAUAGAACCCAAACAGUUUUGUUGCUGAGAAACCAAAA